Molecule: long non-coding RNA, 6337 nt
Organism: Scylla paramamosain (green mud crab)
Lineage: Eukaryota; Metazoa; Arthropoda; Malacostraca; Decapoda; Portunidae
Exons: 3
Source: RefSeq, a predicted model, not a curated record
CUUUGUUUUUUGUCUUGGCCUCCUCUUUUAACUCUUUCACCUUGUUUCUUUCCUCCUCAUUCAUUUCUCUUCUUAUAUAUAUAUAUCCUUCAUACCCUCUAUCUUUCUUAACAAACUCGUUCUUCUCAAGAUGUGUUCGGUUGCCGCUUGGGUAUUAAGUCUUAUUUUCAUGGGACGUUUCCCCCUUUCUGAAUAUUUCCCAAUCCUGUACACUUCUUCUAUUUGUAUAUCUGUUUCAUCUCCUUCUUCUACAAUUUUCCCAAUGAUUUCUUUUGCUCUUUGUAAUUCUUCUCUUUCUCUUAGAACUUUAUUUGAUAUGGUGUGUGUGUGUGUGUGUGUGUGUGUGUGUGUGUGUGUGUGUGUGUGUGUGUGUGUGUGUGUGUGUGUGUGUGUGUGUGUGUGUGUGUGUGUGUGUGUGUGUGUGUGUGUUUACCUAGUUUUACUUAGUUGUAAUUUACAGGGCUUGAGCUAUGUUCAUGUGGUCCCAUCUCCAUAUCUACACUUGUCCAAUUUUUCCUUAAAGUUGUGCACACUCAUUGCUGAUAGUACAUCCUCACUUAGCUUGUUCCAAACUUCUAUAUUUCUCUGUGGGAAACUAUAUUUCUUUAUGUUAUUUAAGCAUCUUCCUUUUCUUAGUUUUUUGCUGUAGCCUUGUGUGUAUCUGGUAUUUUCUGCUUCUCUUAGCAGUAGUUUCUCAUUAUUAAUUUCUUUCACUCUAUUCCACAAUUUAUAAAUCAGUAUUAAGUCUCCACUUUCUCUUCUUUGUUCCAAUGUUGGCAGGUUCAUUUCCUUUAACUUGUCUUCAUAUGUUAAUUCUUCCAGUUCUGGAACCAUCUUCAUUGUCAUCCUAUGUAUCCUUUUUAGUUUUUUGACAUGUUUCUUCUUGUGGGGAGACCACACUGAUUCAACAUAUUCCAGUAUUGGUCUAUUCAUAGUGGUAAUUAUCUUUCUCAUCAUAUCUUUAUCCAUGUAAUGGAAAGCUGUUCCAGUACUUCUGAAUAUCAUUUUUACGUUUCUCUGCCUGUUGACUAUCUUGUAUUAUCAUUCUCUUCUCAUACUUUUAUUAUUUCUUCAUUCAUCAUUUUAUUUGUCCAUUUUGGUCUCUUUUCACUUUUUUCCCAUUUUCUAUUAUAUGACAUUUUUUAACAUUAAAUUCCAUCUCCCAUUUCUUACUCCAGUCCCAGAUUUCAUUCAAGACUUCUUGUAGAAUUUCACAGUCUUUAUUGUUUCUUACAUGUCUUUGUAGUUUUGCAUUAUCUGCAAACAAACACAUGUAACUCUUUACUCCUUCAGGCAUAUCAUUUAUGUAGAUCAGGAAAAGUAUUGGCGCCAGCACUGAUCCUUGGUACUCCACUAUCUAUUUUUCUCUAUCUCAAUUUUACAUCUUUCACUACUGUUCUCAUUUCUCUUCCCUUUAAGUAACUUUCAAUCCAGCUUUUUUAUUUUUCAAUUUGAUCCUCCUUUAUUUUCUAGCUUCCAUAAUAGCCUGUUGUGGGGAACUUUGUCAAAAGCUGUUUUUUUUUUUAUCUAAAUACACACAGUCUACUCAUCCAUCCCUCUUCUGUGUUAUAUCAGACACUCGAAUAGAGGCUCAUCAAAUUGGUUACGCAUGAUUGCUUUUGUCUAAAGCCAUACUGCUUUUCUGUUAUUAUAUCAUGUUUUUCUAUAAAUUUUGUCCACUGCUUCUUUAUCACUUUUUCACAGAUCUUACAUACCAUGCUGGUCAUUGCUACUGGUCUAUAGUUUAGUGGUUCCUCUUUCUUUCCAAUUUUAUAAAUUGGCACUAUGUCUACUCUCUUCCAUUCCUUAGGCACUCUUCCAGUUGUUAUUGAGCACUUUAUUGUGUUGUAUACUGGUUUGAUUAAUUGUUUCCUGCAUUCUUUUAAAAUGAAACCGGGUCCUGUUGCCUUUCUUGCUCCCAGUUCCUCCAUCAUUUUAUAAACUUUUUUGAUUACUGUAAUUUUCCACAUUUGCUUUUUUGUCUUCUUAUCUUGUGGUUCUUUAAAUUCUAGUUCUUCCAUGAAAACUUGCUGAAACUUUUUUUUGUUAUUAUUACGUAGGAAGGACACCAGCCAAGGGCAACAAAAAUCCACUAGAAAAAAAAGCUCCACUGACAUGGUAGUUUCUGAAUAGGGCCCAAAAAUUGAAGGGUAAAAAAUUGAAGGUAUAAGUAUCUUGAAACCUCCCUCUUGAAAGAAUUCAAGUCAUAGGAAGGUGGAAAUACAGAAGUAGACAGGGAGUUCCAGUUUAGCAUUUCACUCAUGUCUUUUGUUUCAUUUUCAUCCUUUAAUCUUUAUAGUUUUUCUUUGUUUUAUUUUUCUAUUCAUGAAUCUGUAGAGCAGUUUUGGGUUGUCCUUACACUUUUCAGCUAUAUCUUUUUCAUAUCCUUUUUCUUUCUCUCCACUUAUUUUCACAUAUUCAUUUCUUACUAUCUUAAAGUCUUCUUUAUUUUUAGGGGGUUUGAUUUCUUUACAUUCUCAUCCAUAUUUUGCCUCUUUUUUUUUAUCCUAUUUCUUUAGGUUUGUAUACUGGGACACAUCUAUCCACUCCUGUUUCAUAUAAUUACAUAAAAAUGUCAUACUUAUCUUGCACAUCAUUUGCUCUUUUCAGCUUUCCCCAGUCCAUUUCUUCAUAGAUAAUCUUAAGAUCAUCUAUAUUUGCUUUUUCAUAGUUUCUCCUGCUUUCUUUGUAUGAUACAGCCUUCAAGAGGGAGGUUUCAAGACACUUAUCCUUCAGUUUUUGACUACUGCUUUGGACCCUUUUAUGGGACUGGCAUCUCAGUGGACUUUUUUUUUUUUGUUGUUGCCCUUGGCCAGUGGCCCUCCUACAUAAAAAAGAAUAAUAAUAAAAAAAAAAACUGUAUUACAUCAAACUAUAACAUUCCCACUUCUAUAAUCUCAAACUAGGGUGUAACCACAGCAUAUUCAGUAUAUUGAAACACUGAGCUUAUUGUGUCUGCAGAAGUCUGGGAAAAUUUUGACUGAUAUUAAUAAAAGUGAGCAAGGAAAAGGUUAAUGAAGAGCAGAUUUAAUGAGAAAAGGUUGCGUAAAUCAGAUUUUUGCAAUCAAAAUGGUAAUAAUAGAGUACAGAAGAGUAAAAAGUUGCAUACAGUCUUUAUAGACCCAGAGACAGAAUAUGGUAGUAAUGAUAGGAAAGCCUUCCAGCAUGUUCUAAAAAUACAUGGUAUGGAAAGGUAGUUGUUGCAAGGAAUGAAGGCAUUUUUAAAAGUGUGUGUGGGAAGGCAGGAGAGCUUGGUAAAUUUCACUGUUAGGAGCAGGAAUGAGACAUGGAUAUGGGAUGUCUAGUACAGUAAAAUCCCUCUCAUCCGGCAUUCGAGUAUCCGGCAGCUUCAAGUAUCCGGCACAUUUUUCCCCGAGCCUUAAAAUCAAUAAAAAAUCAAUGUGUACUCAUAAAAUCGAUUAAAAUUCCCGCGUGAGGCGUACUUUGUCCCCUCGCCACCAGAGCGCACUGCUUCGCGCCACCAGCAACCCACUGCACUGUGUUUACUCAGUGACUCAGUCCCGUGUGUGCACUGUUUAUCGCCUGACGCCUUCAUCAUGCCAAAAGUUGUAGAAAAGAGGAAAUGUGUUGUGCUUGCACUUAAGCAGCUGAUCAGAUCAGCUGCUGAUUAAGAUCAUCUUUGUUAUGGUAAGAUGCGUGAGUGUAGGGUGGUGAUUGUGGACAUAAUUUCACUUCUAUUCAAGUAUCCGGCAAUACUCAAGUAUCCGGCAUGUCGGCGGUCCUGUUGAUGCCAGAUAAGAGGGAUUUUACUGUAUUCUCUUACCAACAUUGGCCUAUGGAUUAGAGACUUGGACAUGGAGCAGGCCGCAUCAAUCAAGAGUACAUGCUGUGGAUAUGAGUUAUCUGAGAGAGCCUUAUGGAAUGACAAGAUGGAAAGAGAGAACAAUGACAGUUUGUAUGGUAGAUGUGGUUUAAAUGUCUAUGCAAAUGGAAUAAAGUGUAGAGUGGUGGAAUGAAUGGAAAAAUAUACAAUGACAUGGUUUGGCUACAUCAAGAGUAUGAAGAGUCUGUAAAAAAAAUGCAAGUGAUAUAGAGUUGCUCCCUUCCAGAAAAGUGAGGAUUGGUAUCUGUUAUCAUACCAUAUGCCAUCAUUUACAUAUAUUUUUCCUAACUUCUAUAUUCUACCCAAGAAUGGUGCUGGACUGGACAUCUACCCACUCUUGUCCAUUUUUCCUAUUUGCCAAGUUGUGAUGGGACUUCACAGAUGCUGAGUAAAUUUAGCAUCCUGAGGUGACUGGAAUUCUGUGGAUGAAUGGACAACAAAACCCAUGACACCCUACUCAUGGUGAUCCUGGAUAUAGGUAGCUGUGAUAUGAGGUGGUGGAUGGUGUAAAUACUGCUGGCUUUGGUUCUAGGACAUUGAGGUGUCUUAGUCCAAGUAAUCCUCUUCCUGGAGGAGGCAAUAGGCACCUGCCAAAAUGAUAAUUACUCCCAGUAAGGUCUAAAGCACUGGAUCAGGGAGUUCAGUGAACCUAUCAUUAAACCCAGCUGGGACCUCACUGAACAUUUCCCUUUGUGUCAGGUCCCCACCAACUAGCAGAGGCAAAAUGCCAGAGGCACCUUCACUUAAGGGGAUCCUGAGGAGGGAUUGGAGUGAUAGGAUAAGAUACAGAUAUGAGAUUGUGAUUGGAGGAGCCCAAUGGAGAAGAGAGGGUGACAGCAUAAGGAGAAGGAUUAAAGGUCAGGAAAAGGUCAAGAAUGUCGGGCGUAUCUCCAAGACGGUCAGGAAUACGAGUAGGGUGUUGCACCAAUUGCUCUAGGUCGUGGAUGAUAGUAAAGUUGAAGGCUAGCUCACUAGGAUGGUCAGUGAAAGGAGAGGAAAGCCAAAGCUGGUAGUGAACAUUGAAGUCUCCAAGAAUGGAGAUCUCUGCAAAAGGGAAGAGAGUCAGAAUGUGCUCCACUCUGGAAGUUAAGUAGUCAAAGAAUUUCUUAUAGUCAGAGGAGUUAAGUGAGAGGUAUACAGCACAGAUAUUUAGUUUAAGAGUAUCUCUGUAGUCAUAGCCAGAUGGUGGAAAACUCAGAAGAUUCAAGAGUGUGGGCACGAGAGCAGGUUAAGUUGUUGCACACAUAAACGCAACAUCCAGCUUUGGAUUGAAAAUGAGGAUAGAGAAAGUAAGAGGGAACAGAAAAGGGACUACUGUCAAUUGCCUCAGACACCUGAGUUUCAGUGAGGAAAAGAAAAUGAGGUUUGGAAGAGGAGAGGUGGUGUUCUACAGACUGAAAAUUAGAUCUUAGAUUGCAAAUAUUGCAGAAGUUAAUGAAGAAAAAAUUGAGGGGGUGUCAAGACACCUAGGGUUGUUAUCAGAAGAGAUGUCUGACCUAGGGACAUUUGUGGUCCCCUUCCCAGAUGGGGACGAGGCUGGUGUAGGAGUCGCCAUGAUAAUUUUGAAUUUUUCAGUGAAGGGUGUGUGUGUGUGUGUGUGUUAUUAGGUGCUUGUAGUUUUGUGUAGAGGAAGAGAGUUGUCUUUAGAGGACAGGUUGUGACUGCCUCCUUAUGUUGUGAGACACAAAGGGAAACAUUCAGUGAGGUCACAGCUGGUUUUAAUGAUAAGUUCAUAGCAUCCCCUGAUCCAGUGUUUUAGACCUCACUGGGAGUAAUUAUCGUUUUGGCAGGUGCCUACUGCCUCCUCCUACAAAGGCAGUGAUGUGAUAACCUCUAUGACUGAGGCAUCAUGGACCAAUAUGAACCAGUUAUGCUACUAUUGUGUAACCUCACAGGAAAAGGGAGACUUGUGACGUCCUAAACAAUUGAUCUAAGAGAAGAAGGAGUCAGUAGGAAGAUGUGGAACAAAAAACUGGAUGAAGGAGUAGAGAUGAUUUUUUGUAGUGGAAAAUGGAGGAAAUAUGGAUAUAAAGUUUUACAGAAAAAAAAGUGCAGUGAAAAAAUUACAGGAGCAGCCAUCAUGAAAAUAACAAAGAUAGCAGAAGCCAAGCUCAUUAGAAGAAGUGUUACAAACGAACCCGUUUAGCAGGAGUCUCCUCUGCCCCACUUCUGCUGGACCUGCAACACAGAGCAAUGUCAUCAAGGCAAACUUCUUCCAUACUUAAGUCUUGUAUAGAUGCAACUAAUGAAAAUCUGACAAUGAGUGCAGCAAGUACUUCUUGUCUAAAUGCUUGAAUUCAUAACAAUAUUAUGUCUUUUUUUUUUGGAAUUCUAUGGAAAACUACAAAGUUCCAUAAAAAUAAUAAUAAACACAUAAGAAUAAAAAAAAUGAAAUAUAUGAUACUAAUUGUUGUACAAAAGGCAAAUGCAAUUUAUCAGCUGUAAAGAUAUUAUAAAUAAUUGUGAAAACUGUUUGAAAAGGGUAAUUACAUC